RNAcentral lists this transfer RNA (72 nucleotides) under Triacanthus biaculeatus (short-nosed tripodfish). RNAcentral's name for it is "tRNA-Val". It matches the Rfam family "tRNA". Rfam says of the family: Transfer RNA (tRNA) molecules are approximately 80 nucleotides in length. Their secondary structure includes four short double-helical elements and three loops (D, anti-codon, and T loops). The record is from RNAcentral. Lineage: Eukaryota; Metazoa; Chordata; Actinopteri; Tetraodontiformes; Triacanthidae.
CAGGGUAUAGCUAAGUUAGCAAAGCAUAUCCCUUACACCGAUAAGUCAUCUGUGCGAACCAGAUUACCCUGA